AUUGCACGCUGGCGGCAGGCUUAACACAUGCAAGUCGAACGAGUGGCGGACGGGUGAGUAAUGCAUGGGAAUAUGGCUUUUGGAGGGGGAUCACUACGGGAAACGAUAGCUAAUACCGCGUACCAUAGGAUGAGCCCAUAUGGGAUUAGGUAGUGGGUGGGGUAAAGGCUCACCAAGCCGACGAUCUUUAGCUGGUCUGAGAGGAUGACAAGACAAACUGGGACUGAGACAGGGCCCAGACUCCUACGGGAGGCAGCAGUGGGGAAUAUUGCACAAGGGGGGCAACCCUGAUGCAGCCAUGCCGAGUGUGUGAAGAAGGCCUUCGGGUUGUAAAGCUCUUUCAGCGGGGAGGCGUUAAUUCCAGAAGAAGCACCGGCUAACUCCGUGCUAGCAGCCGCGGUAAUAC
RNAcentral lists this ribosomal RNA (406 nucleotides) under uncultured bacterium. Its description in RNAcentral is "partial 16S ribosomal RNA". It matches the Rfam family "Bacterial small subunit ribosomal RNA", at positions 30 to 526 of the family's 1533-position model. The record is from RNAcentral.